Molecule: transfer RNA, 73 nt
Filed under: Rhipicephalus sanguineus (brown dog tick)
Lineage: Eukaryota; Metazoa; Arthropoda; Arachnida; Ixodida; Ixodidae
Description: transfer RNA arginine (anticodon GCG)
Rfam family: tRNA
About the family: Transfer RNA (tRNA) molecules are approximately 80 nucleotides in length. Their secondary structure includes four short double-helical elements and three loops (D, anti-codon, and T loops).
Source: Rfam by way of RNAcentral
GCCACGGUGGUCUAGUGGUUAUGGCGCCCGGCUGCGGACUGGAAGGUCGCGGGAUCGAAUCCCGGCCGCGGCG